UCGAAUUUAAAAGGUAAAUUACCUGAUUACUCAAAGGGGUGAGUGUAUCUGCUUUUCAUAUUCUGCUCGGUGUGGUAUUGGAAAUCAAAUCAAUUAGAAGUGUUUUACCUUCUAUCUCUACCACACAGGUAGGAUACACAUACUUCGCUUUUAUACUAUCCCCUUAAACUCCGAGGUUCUGAGCCUCAGAAAUUCCUGUACAGUAAUCCCCUCAUCAUCUAGAGCUCGCCUGGCCAAACUUCUUGGCACAGGUACAGGAGGUGGGAUGGAUACUACUGACGGGGCAGGAGAUUUCCCCCGAGCAAUCUGCUCCCUCAGAGCCUGAUUCUCCGCCAGUACUGUUCCAUCAAUGCAUCUCUACUUCCUACCUCUCCUUGAUCAUUAACCCUCCGUCUAUCAGCAGGAGGAGAUUUUUCUCUUUGGGGCUCGACAUGUGCGGAACCCGCAUCCAAUGCUAUAUCUGGCUCCAUCCUCUUUCCAGGACGAGCAGAUCCUCUUCUUGGAGGUAUUCUUUAUAUGUCUCUAAAAGAGUUAAAAAGAGA
RNAcentral lists this long non-coding RNA (542 nucleotides) under Phoenix dactylifera (date palm). RNAcentral's name for it is "long non-coding RNA (PDAC_LNC021310)". The record is from RNAcentral. Lineage: Eukaryota; Viridiplantae; Streptophyta; Magnoliopsida; Arecales; Arecaceae.